ACGGGUGAGUAAUGCCUAGGAAUCUGCCUGGUAGUGGGGGAUAACGCUCGGAAACGGACGCUAAUACCGCAUACGUCCUACGGGAGAAAGCAGGGGACCUUCGGGCCUUGCGCUAUCAGAUGAGCCUAGGUCGGAUUAGCUAGUUGGUGAGGUAAUGGCUCACCAAGGCGACGAUCCGUAACUGGUCUGAGAGGAUGAUCAGUCACACUGGAACUGAGACACGGUCCAGACUCCUACGGGAGGCAGCAGUGGGGAAUAUUGGACAAUGGGCGAAAGCCUGAUCCAGCCAUGCCGCGUGUGUGAAGAAGGUCUUCGGAUUGUAAAGCACUUUAAGUUGGGAGGAAGGGCAUUUACCUAAUACGUAAGUGUUUUGACGUUACCGACAGAAUAAGCACCGGCUAACUCUGUGCCAGCAGCCGCGGUAAUACAGAGGGUGCAAGCGUUAAUCGGAAUUACUGGGCGUAAAGCGCGCGUAGGUGGUUUGUUAAGUUGAAUGUGAAAUCCCCGGGCUCAACCUGGGAACUGCAUCCAAAACUGGCAAGCUAGAGUAUGGUAGAGGGUGGUGGAAUUUCCUGUGUAGCGGUG
RNAcentral lists this ribosomal RNA (585 nucleotides) under Pseudomonas sp. StFLB192. Its description in RNAcentral is "bacterial SSU rRNA". It matches the Rfam family "Bacterial small subunit ribosomal RNA", at positions 102 to 683 of the family's 1533-position model. The record is from RNAcentral. Lineage: Bacteria; Pseudomonadati; Pseudomonadota; Gammaproteobacteria; Pseudomonadales; Pseudomonadaceae. RNAcentral also lists the same sequence under 2 other names.